RNAcentral lists this transfer RNA (29 nucleotides) under Petrosaurus thalassinus. Its description in RNAcentral is "partial tRNA-Thr". Lineage: Eukaryota; Metazoa; Chordata; Lepidosauria; Squamata; Phrynosomatidae. The record is from RNAcentral. RNAcentral also lists the same sequence under 1 other name.
GCCUCUGUAGCUUAAAACGCAAAGCACUG